Molecule: ribosomal RNA, 429 nt
Filed under: Bacteroidota bacterium
Lineage: Bacteria; Pseudomonadati; Bacteroidota
Description: Bacteroidetes bacterium partial 16S ribosomal RNA
Rfam family: Bacterial small subunit ribosomal RNA
Source: RNAcentral
UAGGGAAUCUUCCGCAAUGGACGCAAGUCUGACGGAGCAACGCCGCGUGAGUGAAGAAGGAUUUCGGUUCGUAAAACUCUGUUGUUAGAGAAGAACAGCGCAUAGAGUAACUGUUAUGCGUGUGACGGUAUCUAACCAGCAAGCCACGGCUAACUACGUGCCAGCAGCCGCGGUAAUACGUAGGUGGCAAGCGUUGUCCGGAUUUAUUGGGCGUAAAGCGAGCGCAGGCGGUCAAUUAAGUCUGAUGUGAAAGCCCCCGGCUCAACCGGGGAGGGUCAUUGGAAACUGGUUGACUUGAGUGCAGAAGAGGAGAGUGGAAUUCCAUGUGUAGCGGUGAAAUGCGUAGAUAUAUGGAGGAACACCAGUGGCGAAGGCGACUCUCUGGUCUGUAACUGACGCUGAGGCUCGAAAGCGUGGGUAGCAAACAGG